AGUCUGGCUUCAGCACCAUUGCUCAGUACUUGGAGAGAUGGUAGACCAUCAAGUGUAUGCGUCCUUUAUGACGUAUGUAACAUGGUCCACUAAUUCUCAGCUUCGGUCGGCCUUGG
This 116-nucleotide microRNA precursor is filed under the name Dasypus novemcinctus (nine-banded armadillo). Lineage: Eukaryota; Metazoa; Chordata; Mammalia; Cingulata; Dasypodidae. The record is from RNAcentral.